CCUACGGGAGACAGCAGUGGGGAAUAUUGCACAAUGGGGGAAACCCUGAUGCAGCGACGCCGCGUGAGUGAAGAAGUAUUUCGGUAUGUAAAGCUCUAUCAGCAGGGAAGAAAAUGACGGUACCUGAUUAAGAAGCCCCGGCUAACUACGUGCCAGCAGCCGCGGUAAUACGUAGGGGGCAAGCGUUAUCCGGAUUUACUGGGUGUAAAGGGAGCGUAGACGGCAGCACAAGUCUGGAGUGAAAUGCCGGGGCUUAACCCCGGAACUGCUUUGGAAACUGUGCAGCUAGAGUGCAGGAGAGGUAAGUGGAAUUCCUAGUGUAGCGGUGAAAUGCGUAGAUAUUAGGAGGAACACCAGUGGCGAAGGCGGCUUACUGGUCUGUAACUGACGCUGAGGUUCGAAAGCGUGGGUAGCAAACAGGAUUAGAUACCCAGUAGUC
This 439-nucleotide ribosomal RNA is filed under the name uncultured bacterium. RNAcentral's name for it is "partial 16S ribosomal RNA". It matches the Rfam family "Bacterial small subunit ribosomal RNA", at positions 338 to 795 of the family's 1533-position model. The record is from RNAcentral.